AUAAUGGGUCAGCGACUUAUAUUCUGUAGCAAGGUUAACCGAAUAGGGGAGCCGAAGGGAAACCGAGUCUUAACUGGGCGUUAAGUUGCAGGGUAUAGACCCGAAACCCGGUGAUCUAGCCAUGGGCAGGUUGAAGGUUGGGUAACACUAACUGGAGGACCGAACCGACUAAUGUUGAAAAAUUAGCGGAUGACUUGUGGCUGGGGGUGAAAGGCCAAUCAAACCGGGAGAUAGCUGGUUCUCCCCGAAAGCUAUUUAGGUAGCGCCUCGUGAAUUCAUCUCCGGGGGUAGAGCACUGUUUCGGCAAGGGGGUCAUCCCGACUUACCAACCCGAUGCAAACUGCGAAUACCGGAGAAUGUUAUCACGGGAGACACACGGCGGGUGCUAACGUCCGUCGUGAAGAGGGAAACAACCCAGACCGCCAGCUAAGGUCCCAAAGUCAUGGUUAAGUGGGAAACGAUGUGGGAAGGCCCAGACAGCCAGGAUGUUGGCUUAGAAGCAGCCAUCAUUUAAAGAAAGCGUAAUAGCUCACUGGUCGAGUCGGCCUGCGCGGAAGAUGUAACGGGGCUAAACCAUGCACCGAAGCUGCGGCAGCGACGCUGAUGCGUUGUUGGGUAGGGGAGCGUUCUGUAAGCCUGUGAAGGUGUGCUGUGAGGCAUGCUGGAGGUAUCAGAAGUGCGAAUGCUGACAUAAGUAACGAUAAAGCGGGUGAAAAGCCCGCUCGCCGGAAGACCAAGGGUUCCUGUCCAACGUUAAUCGGGGCAGGGUGAGUCGACCCCUAAGGCGAGGCCGAAAGGCGUAGUCGAUGGGAAACAGGUUAAUAUUCCUGUACUUGGUGUUACUGCGAAGGGGGGACGGAGAAGGCUAUGUUGGCCGGGCGACGGUUGUCCCGGUUUAAGCGUGUAGGCUGGUUUUCCAGGCAAAUCCGGAAAAUCAAGGCUGAGGCGUGAUGACGAGGCACUACGGUGCUGAAGCAACAAAUGCCCUGCUUCCAGGAAAAGCCUCUAAGCAUCAGGUAACAUCAAAUCGUACCCCAAACCGACACAGGUGGUCAGGUAGAGAAUACCAAGGCGCUUGAGAGAACUCGGGUGAAGGAACUAGGCAAAAUGGUGCCGUAACUUCGGGAGAAGGCACGCUGAUAUGUAGGUGAAGUCCCUCGCGGAUGGAGCUGAAAUCAGUCGAAGAUACCAGCUGGCUGCAACUGUUUAUUAAAAACACAGCACUGUGCAAACACGAAAGUGGACGUAUACGGUGUGACGCCUGCCCGGUGCCGGAAGGUUAAUUGAUGGGGUCAGCGCAAGCGAAGCUCUUGAUCGAAGCCCCGGUAAACGGCGGCCGUAACUAUAACGGUCCUAAGGUAGCGAAAUUCCUUGUCGGGUAAGUUCCGACCUGCACGAAUGGCGUAAUGAUGGCCAGGCUGUCUCCACCCGAGACUCAGUGAAAUUGAACUCGCUGUGAAGAUGCAGUGUACCCGCGGCAAGACGGAAAGACCCCGUGAACCUUUACUAUAGCUUGACACUGAACAUUGAGCCUUGAUGUGUAGGAUAGGUGGGAGGCUUUGAAGUGUGGACGCCAGUCUGCAUGGAGCCGGCCUUGAAAUACCACCCUUUAAUGUUUGAUGUUCUAACGUUGACCCGUUAUCCGGGUUGCGGACAGUGUCUGGUGGGUAGUUUGACUGGGGCGGUCUCCUCCUAAAGAGUAACGGAGGAGCACGAAGGUUGGCUAAUCCUGGUCGGACAUCAGGAGGUUAGUGCAAUGGCAUAAGCCAGCUUGACUGCGAGCGUGACGGCGCGAGCAGGUGCGAAAGCAGGUCAUAGUGAUCCGGUGGUUCUGAAUGGAAGGGCCAUCGCUCAACGGAUAAAAGGUACUCCGGGGAUAACAGGCUGAUACCGCCCAAGAGUUCAUAUCGACGGCGGUGUUUGGCACCUCGAUGUCGGCUCAUCACAUCCUGGGGCUGAAGUAGGUCCCAAGGGUAUGGCUGUUCGCCAU
This 1990-nucleotide ribosomal RNA is filed under the name Escherichia coli. RNAcentral's name for it is "partial 23S ribosomal RNA". It matches the Rfam family "Bacterial large subunit ribosomal RNA", at positions 612 to 2587 of the family's 2925-position model. The record is from RNAcentral. Lineage: Bacteria; Pseudomonadati; Pseudomonadota; Gammaproteobacteria; Enterobacterales; Enterobacteriaceae.